This 497-nucleotide ribosomal RNA is filed under the name uncultured bacterium. RNAcentral's name for it is "partial 16S ribosomal RNA". It matches the Rfam family "Bacterial small subunit ribosomal RNA", at positions 28 to 507 of the family's 1533-position model. The record is from RNAcentral.
GAUGAACGCUGGCGGCGUGCCUAAUACAUGCAAGUCGAACGAACAGACGAGGAGCUUGCUCCCCUGACGUUAGCGGCGGACGGGUGAGUAACACGUGGAUAACCUACCUAUAAUACUGGGAUAACUUCGGGAAACCGGAGCUAAUACCGGAUAAUAUAUUGAACCGCAUGGUUCAAUAGUGAAAGACGGCUUUGCUGUCACUUAUAGAUGGAUUCGCGCCGCAUUAGCUAGUUGGUAAGGUAACGGCUUACCAAGGCGACGAUGCGUAGCCGACCUGAGAGGAUGAUCAGCCACACUGGAACUGAGACACGGUCCAGACUCCUACGGGAGGCAGCAGUAGGGAAUCUUCCACAAUGGGCGAAAGCCUGACGGAGCAACGCCGCGUGAGUGAUGAAGGUCUUCGGAUCGUAAAACUCUGUUAUUAGGGAAGAACAAAUGUGUAAGUAACUAUGCACGUCUUGACGGUACCUAAUCAGAAAGCCACGGCUAACUACGUG